GAAUAUUAUGAAACCUUGAAGAAUGCUUUGCUAUAAAAAGAUUCCUGUAUAAAGGAAGGAAUAUUAUUCAUUUGGAGAGAAGUUUGGAACGGAGUAAAAUGAUGAUUUUUAAUGGACUGUUUUUUUUAUCACUGUUUCAUCAUUUUGUUUACGCAAAAAGUUGUGAGAUGUACCAUUCCUUUUUCCCCUGUUUAUUUCAACAAGAAACACGAUACAAAAUGUUAUAGAGAGCUCAUGAAAGAACGACGGUGUGUGUACGAUGGUUCGAAGGGAAUCUCUUUUAUUAGGAACGGAAAUUUCUUUUCAGCGUAAAUUGAAUGGAAGAUUUCCGUGCAGCAGGGCAUUCAAUUACGUGGUGGAUCAAUGGGAGCUCUCAAUGAAAUUUUAAUUGGAAAAGAGCAAGAUGUACAGGGCGAGAGAUGCAACAGAAUGUUCCUUGAUCAAAGGUGCAAUAGACGUUUCGAGCACAUCGUUUGCAACAUUAUUUUCGAUCUCAAGUUUCUCGCGAUUUAACUCAAUUAAAAAGGUAAAGGAAGGAGUAGACUUUAAUAGAAUAAUCAGUGUUGACUGCUAGGAGAGUUACCUAUUUAAUUUAAGACAUAUGGAAACUUUAAUUGUAAGACUAAAUUAGACCCAGCCAUGGUAAACGCGUUAACCAUUGCAAUAUUCUUGUAAACAGAAGAAGUGAAAGAAGCGAGAUAGAAAGAGCGAGGAAAACGUAGAAUGGGGAUUGGUAUCACCGUCUAGGAUUCUAUAAUCCGUACGAUCUUUAUCGUUAAAUUCUGUACCCGUGGACCGAUGCCUCGAUUGCGCAAUCAAGAUGGCAUCGAGAAAGGCAUCUCUCGCCUUCGACUCAAACUACCAACAAGUAUUUCAAUAUCCGCUCCAAUAUAUUCCCAUCGACCCUAUAAACGUGUGUGCAGUUAUAUUGGAUUCCCUUCCUCCUGCUUCUGCUUCGCUCUUUCCGUCUCCUUCGCGCACGUCCCGUCCCGUCGGUUUUUCCGUUCUCCCUUCCUUCGGGGUAGGUGAAACGAGCUCAACCAAUCGGCUGGUGACGUGCACACAGGACCGAGUCCCGUUUCUACGGGACGUGUGUGCAUAUCCACCCCGAAGGAAACCGCAUUUAAACGUGUUUGGUAACCCUGUAAAAGAUUCUUCGUCCCCGCGUUCUUCACCGCGAAGAAUGGGAACCUUCGGGUUAUUCCUGGGCGGCGAGGGACGUGACGGGAGAGCUAUAAGCGAGACGAUGAUCCUUUUAAUUUCCUCCUUAUUGAAGAUACCGCUGUUCUCAAUGAAAAUUAUUACAUCAUUUGUACCGAAGUCUUUGUAAUUUUUCUUACAAAUUCGGGGUUGACGAAUGGUACCAAUUUUUAAUUAACGUUAGAAUGUAUAAUCGUAAAACUUGGAAUCUUCUAUCUAAGAUCUAAUAUAUAAAACAAGCAUCCGGGAUUACACCGUUUUAAUAACGGUCCCAAAACGCGACAAAAGCGGUGUACGCGGUAGAAUGAUUCUGGAUAAUAAUCUAGGUAGAUUCUCUUGGGAUUAAUUAACCGUUUAAGAUUGUAGAUGAUAAAGAGAUACGGUGUACGGUCAACACAGAGGAAAUUUAUCAGAGAGCUUCUAUCCACAAGCACCUGGGCACACAUUAAAAUCAACCUCCCCCUUCGCGAUCAUCCUUUCAUAUUUUUCUCUCUAUUCUCUUUGUUGUCUCGUAAUCUAUACACACGAACCGUCGCUUAUUAUACUAAUAUGUCCAUGGUGAUCGCGGCGCAUCACCGUCAAAAGGGGUUUCCUCGUUCGAAUCUAAUUGUUCGCCCGGUUACCGUCCAAAGAAACCAAGUGAUACGGUCUGGGACUGGUUUUUCACCUAUGCUCCAGGAUCAAACGGAUACCCCUCUUCUUAUCCGUGAAUCUGUCCUCCAUGGUCCGCUGACUUUUUGCCCACCGAACAUCGUGGAUGUACCCGGAGUACGUAUCGGAAAGCGGGAUGGCUCUUGGCUUGGAAAAGGAAUGAAAAUUGUAAAUAGGACGAGCCGGUGAAUCUGUUAGUUCAACCACUGCGGACUUUUAGACUAACAAUGUGAAGUGGAAAAGAGCAAAACAGGCUUGACAAAAGAGAAGAUGGAAGAUACUCUUGCAAGCAUCGAAUGGCUAAGUAAAACCUGGAGGAUGGAUGUAAGAAAAGAAAAAUGGUAACGGAUAAUUGAAAAAUAGAAGAAGUGCCCGGAGCGUGGCUUUACGCGAUCCAUGGUUAUCGAGCAAGAAUGGACGCGUUGUACUGGAUCAACCGCACAAUGAGUCGAUUCGAUGAAAGGGUUUUGCAAUGGUACCCACGUUUAUAACCGGGUGUAUAUCUGCAGGGGAUACAGGACACGGGGAUGACAAGCCCACUGUUAAAAAGCAUCCCUCGACCUCUCCUUCGGGGGUACAUUACGUCGUAUGGAAACAGUGGGUCAUCAGGAUGUUCCCGUGCUUUCUCUAUCAAUCAGCCUGUCUCAAUGGCGACACAUUGUGUAAUUCAAAAUGAAUGCAAGGGCCAGGCCCAUUGGGGUAUAAUUGUUUCACGACAGGUCCUGGCAUCAACGUUCAAGAAACUCAGGCUCAGCUUGCUUUUCCAAAUCGAACAAUGGAGUAUGCGCGUGUAUAGAAACGGAUAUCUCGUUACACCGUAAUCGAGGAAUAAUCGAUCGCAAAGUUGUAGCACAAGGCAAAUUGCUGGGCGUGGUGAGAACGAUCCAGGAAACUCGAGAGGGCAAAAGACAAGGGCUGCGUGGCAGAACGAGGAAAUCCGAGAUUUUUCUUCCUUUCCUCUCGCCCGUGAACCCCUCUACCCGUCGACGAGGGGGGUCAGUCCUUUAUUUUUCGUGGUCAUGUAAAAAAGCUUUUUAUUCACGGACCCGUGUUCACCCUCGAUUGAACGACGCGCGUGUACCGGGGACCAAACAGAGAUUUCUCUUUCAUGGAUCUUUGAACCGGGUUAAUUAGGGGACUUUGACGAAGGUUGUAGCGGUUUAUCGAUGCGCCAAAAGAGAGGAAAGUCUUUAAGGAAUCGAAUCAAGUUGUAACCACUGGUGGUUCAAGGUACUCAGACGCGACACGAGGAGUUUUAUUAUUUUUUAUUUUUUUCCACCGAUCGUCAACAGCAUUCCUUUUUUUGGCACAAGGAAGAAGAAGGGGAGAGACGUAGUAGAGUAUGAUGACAGCGGAAAGACACGACCACCAUAGAGAGAAUGUCGAUUUCGUGUUUUAACGAACGCGAGGAAGACACGCGGAAUGGACGUUGUCGAUAUCGUUUUCACGAACGACACGUACGUAUAAGUUACGAUGAUGUGAGGGGCAGAUCCAUUAGACUAUGCAAUUGUCCACGUAUUGCAUUGUCAGCCACCAUGGAGAUUUCUAUUCAGAAAUCGCGGAAGUCCCCGGAUGCAUUGACGAGAGGUAGAGAAUGAUCGAGGACCGGGCUCUUGUUGCGAGAAGGAAAGAGAGAACGGGAUAGAGAGACGGCUAGACGUGAUCGACAAGGAUACUGGUUACUCGUACUUCUCAUUUUUUCUCCCUAAUUGUCGUGCGUGAUAUCCGUGUCCACCGGGGGAUCGAUCCUUCCAACCGUAGACGCGUGUCACUCUGUCACUUUCUGAAGCCGAUCUUAACUCUUUUAUUUUUCUUCUCGAUCAACAUUUAUAUUUUGCAACUUUCUAAUCGAUCUACAAUCGUUUUAGAUCAUAAUCGAAGGUGUAGAAAUCGUUAGUUCGUUUCUUCCAGGAUGCCGAUCCGCUGCACCAUUAAUAACGUCGUGACAAAAGGGUGUUCGAAGAUUCAACCGAUCAUGCAACGAAGAUUUAGUGGCCUGUACGAAAGGGUAUAAAGAAGAAUCGGAAUGAAGUUGUUCGGUGGUCCUCUCUCGGGUACGCGUGGGCGGUGCUUCGUGGCCCCUAUCUUUCUUUCGCCAACAAAAACGUCGCAAGACCCUCGACAUUUUGCGUAUUCCGCGUACUUCACCGCGUCUCCUCGAGAGCGUAAGGAGAACAGAGAAGAUAGAAAAAGAUAUCAUGAAUCAUAGAGGAAGAGACAGAGAGAGAGAGAGAGAGAGAGAGAUGAAAUAUAAGGGAGAGAGACUCGGGAUCGUUCUGUCGUAGUAGUUGGACGCGAAGGAGGUACGCGGAGAUGGUCCGGGCAGUUAGGGGCAUUAUAUACCUAACAGGAAGAGAGACAAAGCGAACAAAACACUGUCGGGGCGUCGCUCCGCAAACACAGCGCCUCUUGGUAGAUGAAGAGAGAAGAAAAGUGAGAGCGAAGAACUAAAACUUGGAACAAAAGUCCUCACUUUUGUUCCCUCGAAAGUUUUUCGAAUUAUGGCCGUGGCGGAGAGAACAGACCAAGGGCACCCGGAAAGGUAAAAGGUGCUGGUGGUGGUGAGGGAAAGAUGGCCACGACGGAGGAGUUUCCGCGAGAGAGCUUGUACUAUGAUUUCGCGCUGACGACUCGACGGCGCUGAUAAUUUCCACACUGACGUCUUCGACGCUGCCACCUUGACGCGAUCACCUCUGGUCGUAGAAUCCCCAGCUAGACGGGAAACGUUUGAAUGUUUCACCCUAUCCAGUUAGCCCCGUCUCUGUUCUUGCUCCACCCCUCGACCGUCGUGGCCACAAUAGAGAGUGGGAAGCCUCUUUCUAUGGAUCACACAAUGGAUAUAGUAUAUCAAACAAAUUCGACCCCGCGAAAUUAUUGGCCACGGUAAUCCCACGUUACCGACCCCCAUGGACCAUAGUUCUCCCAUCGGCACCGGCACGUGACCCAUACCAGGACACAAGGGGGUUGGAAACCACCGGUGAAAACUCAGCCAUGAAAUGCGGAGAUGUAGGUUGAAUUUAAAUAUACCGGAAUUUGAUCGGAUCAUAACGGCAGUGGAUAUGAAUCGCAUCCUGAUUUAUGGCAAAGUACAUAACAAAGAUUUCGAUGGCAAAUCCAGAGGCGACACGUCCUUCAUUCUGACAGGAUUGAAAGCCGUAAAAAUCCUUGUCGGACGAAAGGGUAGCCCGAUCUAGGUACGCAUGCGUUUGACAGAGUAGAUAUAUUUCGAUCAUGGAUUUUCGAUAGGCUGCAAGGAUUAGGGGCUACCCUUCGGCUAGUGCGUUUUGUUCGAAACAAUGCUCGACUUAACUGAUUGGCCGGUGCCCUGCUACCGUCCGCGUUCGAUGAAUAACAGAGUGACGAUGUGAAGCUUCUACGUGUUUGCACCAUGAACGGUAACACUGGAUGACAAUAAUUGCUGCAAAAAUUAUUGCAUCCUAAUGUUUCAACCCUUUGAAUAGCGGUGUCACAAUUUGCUGAUGUAUCAAAAUGGAAAUAGAAUAUGGUGAACCGUUAGAAAAUCGAAGAAAGAGAGAAAGAAUGGUGGGCGUAACUGGCGAUAAUUUGCAUGGAAAUUUUUAUCGGCACCACCGAAGAGGCAAUAUCCGGCAGACGCGUUUAAGAUCCGAGACCGGAUAAUAAUAGCCAGCAGAAAUGGCAUCGUAAUGCUGGGAAUGGGUGACACAAGAACCGCUUGCCAUCGGUACACAUCCCCUCGCGCUCUUUUUUGGGGUGCUUAGUAUUUUUAAAUUUCUGUUAUGGAAAUUGAGGAGGUGUAUUUGUAGCGAAAAGGUGUGGAUGCUGAAGACUCGACGCUGAGCCUAGGAAAUCGUGAGGACCCAAAGCUCGCUUCUCAAGGACGUAUCCCCUCUACGAUAAAGAUCCAGAUCUCUGAAUCCGCGUAUCAAGAGCCAAAGGAUCGACGCUGAAACACUCGACGGAGCAUUAUAGAGAAUCCUUUCAAGUCACGCGAGGAGGACCCAUCGCACCCACAGCUCUUGGUGAUCUUCAGCUUCUUCAUCUUGGGGAUCAGCGAAUACUCGCACAUCCUUGAACUCGGUCCACGGUUAGCAUAAGCAGACCGAUCGUCCUGGUGAAGGAUCAUUCGACCGGCCAUAUUCUCGAUCCAAGUCCCUCGGCUAUUGCAGGCAGGUAACCGGUGCCGGCGUAAGGAGCUGCGAGGAACCUGUGUCUCGUCGAAGGGAUGGGAGUGGUGCAGUAGGCAGCACGGGUCGCGUAUGCCGACACCGAAGCGGACGCCGCGGCUGCCGACGCCAACGCGCCUGCCAAUGGAGAGAAGGCUGACUUCGGUUGAAGGCUAUCCUCGCAGACCAACACCUCCAUGGCGGAUACUACGUCGCCUGUGACACAGACAGGGCCUACCUUUGCAUCGAUGCAGCAGAGCUUCCACGUCCGCUCGACGUCUUCCUGGAAACACUCGCAACAACACGUCUACCGGAGAUCUUUGCUGUUGUUGCUGUUGUUGUUGUUGCUGCUGCUGCUGCUGCUGUAAUUGCAGCCCACACGUCUGUUGGAUGUUUUGCAUCUGCAUCUGCAUUUGAAUCUCACGAGGUUCGGGCAUGUGGUGGUGGUGCUGAUGCUGGUACAGGGCUGGAGAACAGUACAAGGAACUUGCCGCUGGACCGUACAGAGGUGCAUAGGGAGGAAAAUGCACCGCCGUCGCUGCAGCCUGAAAAGAUACUCCGAGAUGUUCUUUGACCAACGAACCGAAUAAGCAGAGACUCGAAAAAGUUUCUUCAACGCCAGGAAGAUCCUUCACCACCGACUGUUCUACACGGUGUGAUAUGAUCGAGCGAGAAGGGAGAAGAAGAAGAACAAGCGUACAGCCUUAGGCGAGGUGUGCACGGUCGAGUGAAAUAAUUUCCUGGUGUCCUUAACAGCGACGAAAGAGGAAGAACGGAAGCUAACUGGUCUUUCACAAAGUUUCUUGGACACUCGAAGAAGCUUCUACUGUGAGAAACUGGCGGCGGAUAAUGGUCUCCGCGAGUAGACGAAGGAGAACCGAGUGAUCCUUCCGGAUAAAGGGUGUACCUUGUAUGCGUGUACCGACCCUCUUACAAAGCGUAUCCUCCCUCUUCGAGGGAAUCCACUGGAAAGAGCAAAUCUCCUUUUACCGAGUAAUGAUUGCGACAGGUCUUUGAUACUGACUCUUGGGUGUUAUCCAAAUUGACCCAGAAGUCACAAUGGAGCUGGCCCUUUCCAAGGAUUAAAAUACAUAGAACACCGUAUCAUUGAGAGUUUGUGGAUGUAAAAGGAGGGGGUGAAGAGUGCAUCAACCCUCUCUCUUAGCAGGAAGAAUAGGAGUCCGAGGAAGCAACGAAGCAACUAAGCAACCAGUCGAGAAUCCCUCGCGGUGGGUAGGCAGUGGCCCGAGAAAUUCAAUUACGGCUAAACUUCUCCAGUGAAGACGCGGCUCGUCUGUACACUACUGUAAGCACUCUGUUUCGAAGAUCGAACCGAGGAGACAUCCCCUGUGUACUCGCGACCCUCCACUUUUCAACGGGUGGCGCAGGGGGGAAGAAGAGAAGGCGUAGGUGUAAUUGAAACCGAGCGAAAUCGAAGUUUCAAUCCCCUGGCCCUGGCUGAGAAUGCUGCCUCCUUGCACAAACCUCUUCGACGAGAAAAGAAUCGCGAGAAGUGAUUUCUGUCCGAUCCAAACCUGUCGCUAAACGUUCGAUUCGCUAUUACUACCACCAAUUAUUUUCUUCAUUUUUACGUGUUUCAGACGUGUAGCUAUUCGACUGAUUGUUAAGGAUGGAUAAUUGGAUAAUUAAGAAAGUCUGUAGAGGAUGAUUCAAUCACUGAAGCCACAAUAAAAUCAUAGCACAGAUAUUUGGAAGAAAUAGGUAAAUCUACCUCAAUUCUACAAUACUUAGAGUGAUCGUAUUGAGGUGAUCCGACAAGAGGGUGCAAGGCUCGGAAACAGAAUCUGAAGAAGGUUUAGCGUUACGAUCCUUCAUCGAUCAAAUUACCAAGUGUUUUAUUCCUUGGUGAAAUAUAGAGGGUCACUUGAGAAUGGCUAAAUCUGUGCAACACAAUGUCCCUAUAGAAAAUGAAUCUUUACACUAUGAUGGUUCUUGAUAGCACUCGAGUUAAAGUACAUGUAAAACGAGGAAAUGAGAAAGUCACAUGUUUCGAAAGACCCUCUGGCUAAUUUGAAUCAUUUUACACUUCCGUGAUCCGUUUCACGAAGCCCGUGGGAAAGGAAACAACACCCUUUGCCGGCUGUUAAUCGAAUAACUUGCCAAGUAUCAUGCCACUGAUAAUAUCACACUGCCGUUACGAUUUCUGACUAAAUGGAACGUCGUUUGAAAUUAACUUCAAGUAGGUCAACUGAAAUAACGUUACCUGGGCAGCCAUGACCCGUUGCCUCUCGGCGAUCAGUGUACAUUUCGCGCACACACAGUCCCGCCAACGGCAGUACCGUUUGUGACCCUUCAAAGCGGAUACGACCCCGUGGUUCCUGCAUCUCGCGCACUUCGGUGUCCUUUGGUAUCUCUCAGCACUGGCACGAAGGAAGAACGCGGCUGGUAGCACGUGAUGUUGCUGUUGUUGCUGUUGGUGUUGCAUCAAUUGACCGACGUCAACACCAAGACCGACACCCCGCGGCAACGACAUCGUUAACCGAUCCGAAGGAAACCAGAACACUAGAGAAAACUCUUGCAGAAUGGACGAACGAAACCGUGUCACGGAUCAAUGUACAUCGUUACCGAACGCACUGAACAGAUCCUCGAUGGAUUUCGAUCACCGUCGAUGAUUCUUUCCAGCCAAGCAUGAAGCCCGAUAUUCACUGACACGCGUCCCUCUCAUUUCUCUACACCUCCGUUAACCCUUCGAAUUCAGCCACUGUUAACAUCAAUGUCCGAUCGGCACUGUUUCCCAAACGAAUAGCCACCACGUCAGCCUCUUCUUACUUCAACCGAAGAAAUCACAUUUAACGCUGUGGUGUUCGGUAGAGAAACUCUCGAACCGGCACACGGUUAAGCCAGCGAACGAGCAAGAGAGAGGCUUGAUAAAGUAAUAAGGAUCGAGGGAUGGCCGUAUCAGGGGGUUGAUUAAAAAGAGAAGGACUGUGCUAGACUCUCGCGCACGCGCCCACACUCCCGGUUAAGGUUCACCAGCAGAGCAGAGAGAAGAGCCGACCGCACCAGCACCGUUCGUACGGGUGUCGGGGUACGAAAUGCGGAAUCGCCCCGACCUCCUAUCGCAGCAGCUCUCUCUCGCUCCUCGGCAUUGUCAACAAUUGCAGCAUCCCGGGGUGAGUCGAUUCAGGUAGCACCGGAGAGACAGAGAACCGGUGGCGCGCGGUAGUGGUGUGUCGACAGCCAAAGAGGGAGCCGAAGGCGGACGGAUAAGGAAAGGAGGGAGGUGAAUUCGGAGGGGGUGUAGAAGGGAGCCUAGGUUGCGGGAAUAUAUAUAUACACGUCAGGCCAGAGAGAGAAUGAAACAGGGAGCAAAUGGAGAAGUGCGGAGGAAAAAUGUGGAAAAGUGAACAGAGCCAGAGGAUGGGUAAGAAAAGAAACGAGUUUUAAUGAAAGGGGAUGGAUAGAGGGAGAAAGUGAUACGCCAGACGGAGAUAAGUGUACGAUGAAAAAUGAUAGAGAAACGAUAAGAGAGAGAGAGAGAGAGUGAGAGAGGAUAGAUGAUAUUUCUACGGGGAGGGAUAGGGCAGAAACUAACAGCCCCUCCACAGUUGCACGAAAUAAAACACUGUGCCACAGUGUUCCACCCCGGGGCUUCGGCCAAACGGCGCGGCGCGCUUAGGCACGGCCACGCCCGCGCACCUAUCCCAUUGGCCGAACCCGCUGUUCCACCAAGAUGUUAAGAGUUUAUAUCUGCUUGGGGUGAAAGGGGGACAUACCUAACCGCGUACCCACCUACCUACUCACCCUCGAUAAACUAAAUGCGUAUAGAAAAGCCCGACGCGCGUAUCAGACGUGUGUAUUUUUCCUCCUCUAUUCCUCUCCACCUCCUUUACUACGCCCGAAACGGACAAACACAUUACUCUUUUAUUUAGAAAAACCCGUUUCCAACGUUCAACGCACAAUACCACCGAUGCUCAGACGUUUUACUACUCUAUGCUCCGCCUUUUGUUUCGACUGGCACUGUGUUUUUAACCCAUGCACGCCUUCUUCGUCCCCUUCGGAACGAAGAACGUGUCCCUUCUUUUCUCUCUUCUCCUUCUUCCAUCGACACCGCUCACGCUUCCUCGCGGUUCGUUCUCUUUCCUUCUUCGUUUCGUUUCUUUUUUUUUUUUCCUUUCUUUUUUUAUUAUUAUUUUUCGGAUCCAUCGAGUUCGCUUUCUGUAAACCACACGGGCACACCGUCAACGACGAGCCUUUCUUGAAUCAUAUUCUACAAUGAGCUUUCAAUGGGGGGGAAGCCCUAUUGUCGUCUCCACAAAUGGCGACCGAUUUCAUAGUGAUCUAAUGUACAGAUGUUAUUUACCCCGCAAUGAGAACGGAAUAAAAGGCAUUCUAUGUAUUAAACCGUUCUAUGAUUUUGGAUCAUGUGUAUAUAUAUAUAUAUAUACCUACUCUUUACAAGGGCACAAUGCACAAGGAUGAAAGAGUCUAAUGCAAAAUGAAGGGGAUCCUUGACCAAUCACAGAAUCACCCUUCACACCCGAGUACAUUAAAUAACAAUGAAAUUUGCGAUCUUUCGUUGAAUUGCACGUUUGAACGCGUAUGAUCGAUUAAUCUGCCAACGGGCGUCAUUAGUAAAAUUCAAUGACGGUUUGAGCAACAUUAAAAAGCUUCUGUGAAACGGGUUAGCCGUCGAUAUACCAGUGUACGCCCGACACGGACCAUUUUUUUACUCUGGCAUAUCAAGCACUCAAAAGCGAACGUACACGCCGAUGGAUAAAUCAAUAAACCAAUAGCUAUGGAUGGUCGAAUGGAAAAUCGUAAUCUGGGAAAUAACGAAUGAUACAAUAGCGUUCGAGCCUCUUCAGAACGUUUCCUUUAAAACGUUAAGCUUCUCCCACGAUUCUUAACAUCCUCGCCUUCGGAUGUUUCCACAAGUAUCUGAUUGAUCAACGGUAGCAGGUACACUUGCACAUUGAAUCUCCCCUAGGGCUGUUUGCGUUUAGGGAGCAGAGAUCAAGAUCAAAAUCGCGUCUGUAUCGAGUUACAAUGUUUGCCAACAUCUACGAUCGGCAACACCAAGGAAACAGCUGAUCGAAUCGCUUCUGAUCGGAUAACAGAGAUUAGGAUACAGAACAAUGUUGUGCCAUCAAUUGACUCAAUCAGGAAUUGUCUAUGUAUUCAGAGAAGUUCCGAAAAAUGGUGUCGAAUCGGAGCCGCCAUAUAGAUGGAUGCAUUUGCAGGAAUUUCCUGCGUGUGCUGACCGGACCUGGACUUAAGUCACCGUCUGAUUACUAAGGGCUCGGACCAUGGACUCGACGUGCCAUUAAACAGAACCGCCACUUGCUUCUUAAUAAAGUUCCAUCAUAGAAUCUUUGAUGUUUAAGUUGCAAUAAAUCAAGAUUUUAUGCUUCGUUUCCAUUCUGAACGAAUUUAAGUUCCUCUUCUAUACUCAAUAAUUACAAAAUUAGUAAUAUUUCAAUUGUAAUUAGUGUCUGUUUUUUUUAGGGUAGGUAAUGAAACGUGAAGAGGAAAUAAAGAUACAUUUUGGCAGAACCACGCGAAUGGAGGUGUAUAGUUGAAGAGGGUGAAAUGGGCGUGGUUAGCAACCCUUGGUGAGACAGUGUCGACCAAUGCCCGUACCCUUGGCCGAUAUCGCAACUGUUGCAAACGCAAGCGCCGUCAGGGUUGUUCCUGUGAACCUCUGGUGAUAGGUUGAUGUGCAAGGCUGUUUAAUGUAACGGGCGCAGACUCGACUUAGGGGACACUGUUCCAAAAGGUUACGCCUCGCAUUCACAUUGGUUAUGCAUCAACCCGUUCCUCCUCAAGCAUUUGCAACCCCUACUUUUCUUAAUCGUUAAAUUGGGUAUCGUAUGCAAAAAUAAAAUAAAAUAAUUUACUUUCUUCA
Osmia lignaria (orchard mason bee) is the source of this 11865-nucleotide non-coding RNA. The record is from RefSeq and is a predicted model, not a curated record. NCBI's taxonomy places the organism in Eukaryota, Metazoa, Arthropoda, Insecta, Hymenoptera, Megachilidae.